Molecule: ribosomal RNA, 415 nt
Filed under: uncultured bacterium
Lineage: Bacteria
Description: bacterial SSU rRNA
Rfam family: Bacterial small subunit ribosomal RNA
Source: RNAcentral
UGGGGAAUAUUGCACAAUGGGGAAAGCCCUGAUGCAGCGACGCCGCGUGAGUGAAGAAGUAUUUCGGUAUGUAAAGCUCUAUCAGCAGGGAAGAAAAUGACGGUACCUGACUAAGAAGCCCCGGCUAACUACGUGCCAGCAGCCGCGGUAAUACGUAGGGGGCAAGCGUUAUCCGGAUUUACUGGGUGUAAAGGGAGCGUAGACGGCAUGACAAGCCAGAUGUGAAAACCCAGGGCUCAACCCUGGGACUGCAUUUGGAACUGCCAGGCUGGAGUGCAGGAGAGGUAAGCGGAAUUCCUAGUGUAGCGGUGAAAUGCGUAGAUAUUAGGAGGAACACCAGUGGCGAAGGCGGCUUACUGGACUGUAACUGACGUUGAGGCUCGAAAGCGUGGGGAGCAAACAGGAUUAGAUACCC